This 496-nucleotide ribosomal RNA is filed under the name uncultured bacterium. RNAcentral's name for it is "partial 16S ribosomal RNA". It matches the Rfam family "Bacterial small subunit ribosomal RNA", at positions 29 to 507 of the family's 1533-position model. The record is from RNAcentral.
AUGAACGCUGGCGGCGUGCCUAAUACAUGCAAGUCGAGCGAACAGACGAGGAGCUUGCUCCUCUGACGUUAGCGGCGGACGGGUGAGUUACACGUGGAUAACCUACCUAUAAGACUGGGAUAACUUCGGGAAACCGGAGCUAAUACCGGAUAAUAUAUUGAACCGCAUGGUUCAAUAGUGAAAGACGGUUUUGCUGUCACUUAUAGAUGGAUCCGCGCCGCAUUAGCUAGUUGGUAAGGUAACGGCUUACCAAGGCAACGAUGCGUAGCCGACCUGAGAGGGUGAUCGGCCACACUGGAACUGAGACACGGUCCAGACUCCUACGGGAGGCAGCAGUAGGGAAUCUUCCGCAAUGGGCGAAAGCCUGACGGAGCAACGCCGCGUGAGUGAUGAAGGUCUUCGGAUCGUAAAACUCUGUUAUUAGGGAAGAACAAAUGUGUAAGUAACUAUGCACGUCUUGACGGUACCUAAUCAGAAAGCCACGGCUAACUACGUG